GAGAGUGGCGGACGGGUGAGUAACACGUAGGUGAUCUACCUCUGGAUGGGGGAUAGCCCAUGGAAACAUGGGGUAAUACCGCAUGAAGCCUGUAUCUUUCGGGGUAUGGGUUAAAGGUGCAAUUGUGCUGUCUGGAGAUGAGCCUGCGGCCCAUUAGUUAGUUGGCAGGGUAAGAGCCUACCAAGGCGAUGAUGGGUAGCCGGCCUGAGAGGGCGUACGGUCACACUGGGACUGAGACACGGCCCAGACUCCUACGGGAGGCAGCAGCUAAGAAUCUUCCGCAAUGGGCGCAAGCCUGACGGAGCGACGCCGCGUGGACGAAGAAGGCCGAAAGGUUGUAAAGUUCUUUUGCAGGUGAAGAAUAAGGCAGGGAGUGGAAUGCCCUGCUGAUGACGUUAGCCUGCGAAUAAGCCCCGGCCAAUUACGUGCCAGCAGCCGCGGUAACACGUAUGGGGCGAGCGUUGUUCGGAAUUAUUGGGCGUAAAGGGCGUGUAGGCGGUUCUGUAAGCUUGGUGUUAAAACUGCAGGCUUAACCUGUAGGUGGCGCUGGGAACUGCAGGACUAGAGUUCAGGAGGGGGAGCUGGAAUUCCUGGUGUAGGGGUGAAAUCUGUAGAUAUCAGGAAGAACACCGGUGGCGAAGGCGAGCUCCUAGCUAUGGACUGACGCUGAGGCGCGAAAGCGUGGGGAGCGAACAGGAUUAGAUACCCUGGUAGUCCACGCUGUAAACGAUGUGCACUAGGCG
RNAcentral lists this ribosomal RNA (743 nucleotides) under uncultured bacterium. RNAcentral's name for it is "bacterial SSU rRNA". It matches the Rfam family "Bacterial small subunit ribosomal RNA", at positions 91 to 822 of the family's 1533-position model. The record is from RNAcentral.